GACCUGCACGAAGGCCGCCAGCGCGAAGAAGGCGGCCAUGAGCCCGUUGCAGGCCCGCCACAGGGCCGGCGCCAUGGGUCGGACAGCGCGGCGCGGGGCGGCCCCUAAGGUAAAAGCCAUGCUCCAAGUCCCCUUCUGACUUCUAGUCACUUCCUUGCUGCCAGCAGAGGGCAUGGGAUUCUUCCUGAGGAGCCUGAGUCUCAGCUUUGCCAGGUCCUUGCUGUGUGACCUUGGGCACCUGUGCUCCCUUGACAAAGAGGAAUAAAACCUCUUCAUACUACUCUCCUUUUGAUUCUCUCCUGGAACAUAUGACCACCAUCAAUUAUAGGCAAGAACAUGAACACGGGAGUCCCAAAGACCUGGGUUCAAAUGUCAGGCCCUUCACUCGCUGGCUGUAGGUGUGAGGCCCUGGGCAAGGUCCUUACCUCCCCAAGUGUCUGAGCCUGUUCCCGUAUAACGUUCACUUGACUUGAAUGUCAUGAAAUGUACAUUAGACUUUGUAAGUAAACACCUAGCUGAGUACCUGGAGCAUAGUAAGUGCUUAUCACAUGUUCCAUGGAGU
RNAcentral lists this non-coding RNA (562 nucleotides) under Pongo abelii (Sumatran orangutan). Lineage: Eukaryota; Metazoa; Chordata; Mammalia; Primates; Hominidae. The record is from RNAcentral.